CAGCNUCCUGGGAUAACACUGACGUUCAUGCCCGAAAGCGUGGGUAGCAANCAGGAUUAGAUACCCUGGUAGUCCACGCCCUAAACGAUGUCGAUUAGCUGUUGGGCAGCAUGACAGCUUAGUAGCGAAGCUAACGCGUGAAAUCGACCGCCUGGGGAGUACGGUCGCAAGAUUAAAACUCAAAGGAAUUGACGGGGACCCGCACAAGCGGUGGAUGAUGUGGAUUAAUUCGAUGCAACGCGAAGAACCUUACCUGGUCUUGACAUGUACGGAACCCUCCAGAGACGGAGGAGUGCCUUCGGGAGCCGUAACACAGGUGCUGCAUGGCUGUCGUCAGCUCGUGUCGUGAGAUGUUGGGUUAAGUCCNNCAACGAGCGCAACCCUUGUCAUUAGUUGCCAUCAUUAAGUUGGGCGCUCUAAUGAGACUGCCGGUGACAAGCCGGAGGAAGGUGGGGAUGACGUCAAGUCCUCAUGGCCCUUAUGACCAGGGCUUCACACGUCAUACAAUGGUCGGUACAGAGGGUAGCCAAGCCGCGAGGCGGAGCCAAUCUCACAAAACCGAUCGUAGUCCGGAUUGCACUCUGCAA
RNAcentral lists this ribosomal RNA (587 nucleotides) under uncultured bacterium. Its description in RNAcentral is "bacterial SSU rRNA". It matches the Rfam family "Bacterial small subunit ribosomal RNA", at positions 722 to 1310 of the family's 1533-position model. The record is from RNAcentral.